CCUACGGGAGGCAGCAGUGAGGAAUAUUGGUCAAUGGGCGCGAGCCUGAACCAGCCAAGUCGCGUGAGGGAAGACGGUUUUCGGAUUGUAAACUUCUGUUCUUAGUGAAGAAUAAUGACGGUAGCUAAGGAGCAAGCCACGGCUAACUACGUGCCAGCAGCCGCGGUAAUACGUAGGUGGCAAGCGUUGUCCGGAAUUACUGGGUGUAAAGGGAGCGCAGGCGGGAAGCCAAGUCAGCUGUGAAAACUACGGGCUUAACUUGGAGACUGCAGUUGAAACUGGUUUUCUUGAGUGAAGUAGAGGUUGGCGGAAUUCCGGGUGUAGCGGUGAAAUGCGUAGAUAUUGCGCAGAACUCCGAUGGCGAAGGCAGCAUACCGGCGGCGAUCUGACGCUGAGGCACGAAAGCGUGGGUAUCGAACAGGAUUAGAUACCCCAGUAGUC
Molecule: ribosomal RNA, 441 nt
Filed under: uncultured bacterium
Lineage: Bacteria
Description: partial 16S ribosomal RNA
Rfam family: Bacterial small subunit ribosomal RNA
Source: RNAcentral